RNAcentral lists this transfer RNA (71 nucleotides) under Echinostoma caproni. It matches the Rfam family "tRNA", at positions 7 to 64 of the family's 71-position model. From Rfam's summary of the family: Transfer RNA (tRNA) molecules are approximately 80 nucleotides in length. Their secondary structure includes four short double-helical elements and three loops (D, anti-codon, and T loops). Further hydrogen bonds mediate the characteristic L-shaped molecular structure. tRNAs have two regions of fundamental functional importance: the anti-codon, which is responsible for specific mRNA codon recognition, and the 3' end, to which the tRNAs corresponding amino acid is attached (by aminoacyl-tRNA synthetases). tRNAs cope with the degeneracy of the genetic code in two manners: having more than one tRNA (with a specific anti-codon) for a particular amino acid; and 'wobble' base-pairing, i.e. permitting non-standard base-pairing at the 3rd anti-codon position. The record is from Rfam by way of RNAcentral. Lineage: Eukaryota; Metazoa; Platyhelminthes; Trematoda; Plagiorchiida; Echinostomatidae.
GUAGCUCAGCUGGUAGAGCGUGCGCUGUACAAAAGCGUAGGCGGCGUCCUUGCGUGGGUUCGAAUCCCACC